GUAGGGAUUGCUGGAGGAAGGCUUACAAGUCCUCCUCUGCUUUUCUCCUAAGAAUAAAAUAUGACUUCAGGCCUUUAUACCAGUAAGAAACUGUGAUGUGUGCAUAUGGAGAGGGCACUAUGAUGUCAUUUUUCUUCUAUGUCAUCACAAUACAGCAUCUCCAGACUCCAGGAUUUCACCCUUUCUUGAUCAAAGUCAGAAGAAAAUAUGUCUGCACACAAUUAUCUUACAGAGCCAGAUGUGAAACUCCUCCUAGCUAUCAGGUAAGGGAGGAGAGUCAACGUGAUGUAAGGGUCUUGAGCGAUGCUGAGAGACAAACCUUCAAAUCCUUACUAAACUAUUGGAAAUCCACUCCAUGGCCUUGGGAAGGUCCCACUUUAGAAGCUUAAUAAGAAGGUGAUGGCAAACCUCCUUUGAAUACAUCUUGUCAGGUGUGUCAACAAAAGUCAGUUGAUAUGAAGGCACGUAACAACAAUAACAACAAAGUGAAAGAGCGAUGACUUCUACCAUGUAAAAAAAAGGAAAUAAAACCAGCCUGAAUCUCUUUCUCUGAUUCUAAA
Anolis carolinensis (green anole) is the source of this 560-nucleotide long non-coding RNA. RefSeq lists it as uncharacterized. The transcript has 2 exons. Lineage: Eukaryota; Metazoa; Chordata; Lepidosauria; Squamata; Anolidae. The record is from RefSeq and is a predicted model, not a curated record.